This is an RNA transcript of Rhinopithecus roxellana (golden snub-nosed monkey), 731 nucleotides long. It is a transcript of the gene named acyl carrier protein, mitochondrial-like, with no coding region annotated. NCBI's taxonomy places the organism in Eukaryota, Metazoa, Chordata, Mammalia, Primates, Cercopithecidae. The record is from RefSeq and is a predicted model, not a curated record. The transcript has a single exon.
GCCAUUGCAUUCCACCCUGGGCAACAAGAGCGAAACUCCGUCUCAAAAAAAAGAAAAAAAGAGGCAGUGCGUCCUGGGUCGGCGUAGCUAUGGCGUCUCGUGUCCUUUCAGCCUAUGUCCGCUGCCUGCCCGCGGCCUUUGCGCUGCUGCCCCGGGUCCGGAUGCAGACGUGGCCCGGCCUCUCAGCACCGGUCUGUGCUCCGCGGGGACUCAGACGAGGCUCGGGCCUUUGCAGCCGGCCUUAAAGCUCGCGCAGGUUCCUGGUAGAGUUACACAGUUGUGCCGCCAGUAUAGCGACAUGCCCCCUUUGACAUUAGAGGGCAUCCGGGACCAUGUUCUUUACGUAUUGAAACUCUAUGACAAGAUUGACCCAGAGAAGCUUUCAGUAGAUUCUCAUUUUAUGAAAGACCUGGGCUUAGUUUGGACCAAGUGGAGAUUAUCAUGGCCAUGGAAGACGAAUUUGGGUUUGAAAUUCCUGAUACAGAUGCUGAAAAGUUACUGUGUCCACAAGAAAUUAUAGAUUACAUUGCAGAUAAGAAAGAUGUAUAUGAAUAAAGUAUCAGACCCUUUGGCUUUGGGGAGAGAGGACUCAGAUGAUAGUGCCGAAUGUCUGGUAGUGAGGACACAUUUUCGCAUCAUUGCUGACUCUGACAGAGUGAUUCUGAUGGACUUGUAUUUAAAUUGUAUAAGUGUUUUACUCUUUGAAAAUAAAUCUAUAAAACCAAAAAAAA